Molecule: ribosomal RNA, 386 nt
Filed under: uncultured bacterium
Lineage: Bacteria
Description: bacterial SSU rRNA
Rfam family: Bacterial small subunit ribosomal RNA
Source: RNAcentral
GAUGAACGCUAGCGGCAGGCUUAAUACAUGCAAGUCGAACGGUAACAGGUCUUCGGACGCUGACGAGUGGCGCACGGGUGAGGAACACGUACACAAUCUACCUUAUACUGGAGAAUAGCCCCGGGAAACUGGGAUUAAUACUCCAUAGUCUUUAAUGAUCACAUGAGAAAUAAAGUAAAGACUUCGGCGGUAUAAGAUGAGUGUGCGUCCCAUUAGAUUGUUGGUGAGGUAACGGCUCACCAAGUCGACGAUGGGUAGCUGGCGUGAGAGCGCGACCAGCCACACUGGCACUGAGACACGGGCCAGACUCCUACGGGAGGCAGCAGUAGGGAAUAUUGGUCAAUGGACGAAAGUACUGAACCAGCCAUGCCGCGUGGAGGAUGACU